RNAcentral lists this ribosomal RNA (2142 nucleotides) under Triticum aestivum (bread wheat). RNAcentral's name for it is "partial small subunit ribosomal RNA". The record is from RNAcentral. Lineage: Eukaryota; Viridiplantae; Streptophyta; Magnoliopsida; Poales; Poaceae.
AUGGUGCGAUCUAUGAUGUCUCUUAACGAUCUACCGCUCUCAUUUUGGGGCUAUGCUUUAGAGACUGCCGCAUUCACUUUAAAUAGGGCUCCGUUGAAAUCCGUUGAGACAACACCGUAUGAAUUAUGGUUUGGGAAGAAACCUAAGCUGUCGUUUCUAAAAAUUUGGGGAUGCGAUGCUUAUGUCAAGAAACUUCAACCUGAAAAGCUCGAACCCAAUUCGGAAAAAUGCGUCUUCAUAGGAUACCCUAAGGAAACUAUUGGGUAUACCUUCUACCUCAGAUCCGAAGGCAAGAUCUUUGUUGCCAAGAAUGGGUCCUUUCUGGAGAAAGAGUUUCUCUCGAAAGAAUUGAGUGGGAGGAAAGUGGAACUUGAUGAGGUGAUAGUCAUCCCUUCCGAACCGGAAAGUAGCGCAACGCGGGAAGAUGUUCCUGUGGUGCCUACACCGACUGGGGAGGAAGUUAAUGAUGAUGAUCAUGAAGCUUCAGAUCAAGUUACUACUGAACUUCGUAGGUCCACAAGGACACGUUCCGCACCAGAGUGGUACGACAACCCUGUCCUGGAAAUCAUGUUGUUGGACAACGGUGAACCUUCGAACUAUGAAGAAGCGAUGGCGGGCCCGGAUUCCGACAAAUGGCUAGAAGCCAUGAAAUCCGAGAUAGGAUCCAUGUAUGAAAACGAAGUAUGGACUUUGACUGACUUGCCCGAUGAUCGGCGAGCCAUAGAAAAUAAAUGGAUCUUUAAGAAGAAGACAGACGCGCAUGGUAAUGUGACCAUCUAUAAGGCUCGACUUGUCGCUAAGGGUUAUCGACAAGUUCAAGGGGUUGACUACGAUGAGACUUUCUCACCCGUAGCGAAGCUGAAGUCCGUCCGAAUCAUGUUAGCAAUUGCCGCAUUCUACGAUUAUGAGAUAUGGCAAAUGGACGUCAAAACGGCAUUCCUUGACGGCUUUCUUAAGGAAGAAUUGUAUAUGAUGCAGCCGGAAGGUUUUGUCGAUCCUAAGAAUGCUAACAAGGUAUGCAAGCUCCAGCGCUCCAUCUAUGGGCUGGUGCAAGCAUCUCGGAGUUGGAACAUUCGUUUUGAUGAGAUGAUCAAAGCGUUUGGGUUUACACAGACUUAUGGAGAAGCCUGUGUUUACAAGAAAGUGAGUGGGAGCUCUGUAGCAUUUCUCUUAUUAUAUGUGGAUGACAUACUAUUGAUGGGAAAUGAUAUAGAAUUCUUGGAAAGUAUAAAGGCCUAUUUGAAUAAGUGUUUUUCAAUGAAGGACCUCGGAGAAGCUGCUUAUAUAUUAGGCAUCAAGAUCUAUAGAGAUAGAUCAAGACGCCUCAUUGGUCUUUCACAGAGUACGUACCUUGACAAGAUAUUGAAGAAGUUCAAUAUGGAUCAGUCCAAGAAGGGGUUCUUGCAUGUAUUGCAAGGUGUGCAAUUGAGCACGGCUCAAUGCCCGACCACGGCAGAAGAUAGAGAAAAGAUGAGUGUCAUCCCCUAUGCCUCGGCCAUAGGGUCUAUUAUGUAUGCCAUGCUGUGUACCAGACCUGAUGUAAACCUUGCCGUAAGUUUGGUAGGAAGGUACCAAAGUAAUCCCGGCAUGGAACACUGGACAGCGGUCAAGAAUAUCCUGAAGUACCUGAAGAGGACUAAGGAUAUGUUUCUCGUUUAUGGAGGUGACGAAGAGCUCGUCGUAAAGGGUUACGUCGACGCUAGCUUCGACACAGAUCUGGAUGACUCGAAGUCACAAACCGGAUACGUGUAUAUUUUGAAUGGAGGGGCAGUAAGCUGGUGCAGUUGCAAGCAAAGCGUCGUGGCGGGAUCUACAUGUGAAGCGGAGUACAUGGCAGCCUCAGAGGCAGCGCAAGAAGCAGUCUGGAUGAAGGAGUUCAUUACCGACCUAGGGGUGAUACCCAGUGCGUCGGGCCCGAUGACUCUCUUCUGUGACAACACUGGAGCUAUUGCCCUUGCCAAGGAGCCCAGGUUUCAAAGGAAGACCAGGCAUAUCAAGCGUCGCUUCAACUCCAUUCGUGAAAGUGUUCAAAAUGGAGACAUAGAUAUUUGUAAAGUACAUACGGACCUGAAUGUAGCAGAUCCGUUGACUAAACCUCUCCCUAGAGCAAAACAUGAUCAACACCAGGACGCUAUGGGUGUU